ACAUAACAAAUUUACUUAAAAUCAUAGGUCUUGUUUUUGUCUGCCACUAUAAGAACCAGAACAUAUUUCGGACAUUCGAGGAUUGACUUGCUGUGUUAGAGGAUCAUCAGGUGAUGGAAGAAACCAGGCUUUUUUCGACUCAAUGUUGAUGAAACCUGAUCGACAUGCUCAUCUUGGUUGAGUAAGCCUGGGUUGAGUGUUUCCAAAAAGUAGGUAACCUGGUGAAAUCUUAGGAAAACAUUGUAACCAGAUCCAGGUUUAUUUGACUGACAGACCGAUGGACAGUGGGUCAACCGUAAAUCCCUUCAUGUGAAAACGCUACUAUUCGGACAUGGACUGACGGACAAAUGGGCAACAAUGUCGCAAUUUGUAUACCAAGUUUUAUAAGAAUUGUUUCAUAAAAGUAACCAAUGUGUCUGUUCUAUGUCAAGGUAACUACUAGGAUGAAAUACACAAAAAGAUUUU
This is a long non-coding RNA of Dreissena polymorpha, 465 nucleotides long. RefSeq lists it as uncharacterized. The record is from RefSeq and is a predicted model, not a curated record. NCBI's taxonomy places the organism in Eukaryota, Metazoa, Mollusca, Bivalvia, Myida, Dreissenidae. The transcript is spliced from 2 exons.